This is a long non-coding RNA of Gallus gallus (chicken), 725 nucleotides long. The record is from Ensembl. NCBI's taxonomy places the organism in Eukaryota, Metazoa, Chordata, Aves, Galliformes, Phasianidae.
CUGGCUCUCAGUGCAGUGGAUGCACUCAGGAAAGACAGAUGAUGAACCAGAUAUAUUCAGAAUCACACUGGCCAGGCCCAUUCCUGGAUAUAACAUAGUUUCAAAAAGCUAUAGUCUCUCCAGAAUACUUUCUUGAGGGAAUACAUACAUGAAGUCAUCGACAAUUUGGGAAAGAAGAUUUGUUUAUCACUUGUUCUUAACGUGGUAUGGAUUCUGUUUCUUUUAUUGCAGAAUUAUUCCAGCUAUAUUCCUCUGUUACUGAAUAGCAAAUGUUCUGUAAUAUAUGUAUCUGUUCUGGACGUGUUUUUCCUUUAGCUUCUACCUGCUGCCUCAUUCUGCUUGAUAGCGCGUUAUGUCUAGUCUGACACAGAACAAAUGAUCAGACAGAACUUUGCCUCAGUAGAGAAUCUGAAAGGAAAAAAUCUGUUUGUGUCAGAAAAGAUUACAUUCCGAAGUGUUCCCUUAAAACAUAUAUAUUUUGAAGAUAAGUUGAAAAGAAACAUAUGCAACUUCUGUGUUAAUUGUUUGCAUACUUCUAAAUGCAAAUGAUUUCAGAUGUUUAACCCAGCUUCCUCACUCUAAUCUGAAGUAAUUUUUACUUACUUUUCUAGUGACAUUUGGUAAAUUCAUGGUGUUGUUUGUGUCUGUUACUAAAACAAUCAGAAAAAUGGUAAAGAAUCACCCUCAAAAAGAUCAUUCUUUAACAAAGUCUUGUAUCCAACAAC